UUUUUUUUUUUUUGAGAUGGAGUCUUGCUCUGUUGCCCAAACUGGAGUGCAGUGGCGUGAUCUUGGCUCACCACAACCUCCACCUCCCGGGUUCAAGCAAUUCUCCUGCCUCAGCUUCCUGAGUAGCUGGGACUACAGCCAUGCGCCACCAUGCCUGGCUAAUUUUUGUAUUUUUAGUAGAGAUGGGGUUUCACUAUGUUGGCCAGGCUGGUCUCAAACUCCUGACCUCAUGAUCUGUUCACCUUGGCCUCCCAAAGUGCUGGGAUUACAGGUGUGAGCCACUGCGCCCGGCCUAAUAUCUGAUUUUUAAGAGGCAAUAAUUAGCUUUGAUGACAGGAGUUUGUCUGAUUUUGAGACUGGACAAUGACAAGGUUAAAUUUCAACAAUGGAAGCAUGUACCCAAGUGUUUUGUCAGAUACUUUGCAUGGAAAUGCCUGCAGUUAGGGAGACUGGUGUGUAUUGAAUGCUUCUUUUAGCACAUUUCAGUUGGACUGCGAUGCAGUUCUUCAGCUCUUCAUUGAAACGCUGCUCCACAACACGAAUGCCAGCCAAGGCCAGGGAGAUGCAAGCAUGGACUCUGCAAAGCGGCGGCAUCCCAAACUCCUGGCCAAAGCCCUUGAGAUGGUUCCUUUAUUGACGAGCACAAAAGAUUUGGUCAUCAGUCUUAGUGGAAUACUACAUAAGUUGGAUCCUUAUGACUAUGAAAUGAUUGAAGUUGUCCUGAAAGUUAUAGAACGAGCUGAUGAAAAGAUAACCAAUAUUAAUAUUAAUCAGGCAUUGAGUAUUCUGAAACAUUUGAAGUCAUACAGAAGAAUUUCUCCUCCCGUGGAUCUAGAAUAUCAGUAUAUGUUGGAACAUGUCAUAACUUUGCCAUCAGCUGCCCAAACUAGACUGCCUUUUCACCUAAUAUUCUUUGGCACAGCACAGAACUUCUGGAAAAUUCUCUCUACAGAACUCAGUGAAGAAUCUUUCCCAACAUUGCUCUUAAUUUCGAAAUUAAUGAAGUUUUCUCUGGACACUCUGUACGUGUCUACAGCAAAACACGUUUUCGAAAAAAAACUGAAGCCAAAGCUCCUGAAGUUAACACAAGCUAAAUCGUCAACACUGAUGAACAAGGAAAUAACUAAGAUCACGCAGACCAUCGAAUCCUACUUACUCUCUAUAGUCAACCCAGAGUGGGCUGUAGCUAUUGCCAUCAGCCUUGCCCAGGAUAUCCCUGAAGGUUCCUUCAAGAUGUCUGCUUUGAAAUUCUGCCUUUAUUUAGCUGAAAGAUGGCUACAGAAUAUCCCAUCGCAGGAUGAAAAACGUGAAAAAGCCGAGGCUUUGUUGAAGAAGCUUCAUAUCCAGUACCGGCGAUCAGGCACAGAAGCUGUGCUCAUAGCCCACAAGCUGAACACUGAGGAAUAUUUAAGAGUGAUCGGAAAGCCAGCACAUCUUAUUGUCAGUCUCUACGAACAUCCUAGCAUCAAUCAAAGAAUUCAGAAUUCAUCUGGCACAGAUUAUCCUG
This 1507-nucleotide small RNA is filed under the name Pongo abelii (Sumatran orangutan). RNAcentral's name for it is "retained intron". The record is from RNAcentral. Lineage: Eukaryota; Metazoa; Chordata; Mammalia; Primates; Hominidae.